CGCCUGAACUUAAGCAUAUCAAUAAGCGGAGGAAAAGAAACCAACAGGGAUUGCCCCAGUAACGGCGAGUGAAGCGGCAACAGCUCAAAUUUGAAAUCUGGCCCUUACGGGUCCGAGUUGUAAUUUGUAGAGGAUGCUUUUGGCAAGGCGCCGCCCGAGUUCCCUGGAACGGGACGCCACAGAGGGUGAGAGCCCCGUCUGGCUGGCCGCCGAGCCUCUGUAAAGCUCCUUCGACGAGUCGAGUAGUUUGGGAAUGCUGCUCAAAAUGGGAGGUAUAUGUCUUCUAAAGCUAAAUAUUGGCCAGAGACCGAUAGCGCACAAGUAGAGUGAUCGAAAGAUGAAAAGCACCUUGAAAAGAGGGUUAAAUAGUACGUGAAAUUGUUGAAAGGGAAGCGCUUGUGACCAGACUUGGGCGCGGCGGAUCAUCCGGGGUUCUCCCCGGUGCACUUCGCCGCGUCCAGGCCAGCAUCAGUUCGUCGCGGGGGAAAAAGGCUUCGGGAACGUGGCUCCCUCGGGAGUGUUAUAGCCCGUUGCGUAAUACCCUGCGGUGGACUGAGGACCGCGCAUCUGCAAGGAUGCUGGCGUAAUGGUCACCAGCGACCCGUCUUGAACCACGG
Molecule: ribosomal RNA, 617 nt
Filed under: Trichoderma reesei
Lineage: Eukaryota; Fungi; Ascomycota; Sordariomycetes; Hypocreales; Hypocreaceae
Description: LSU rRNA
Rfam family: Eukaryotic large subunit ribosomal RNA
Source: RNAcentral